ACGGAGGGUGCAAGCGUUAUCCGGAAUUACUGGGUUUAAAGGGUGCGUAGGCGGAUUGAUAAGUCAGAAGUGAAAGCUCUCGGCUCAACUGAGGAAUUGCUUUUGAAACUGUCAAUCUUGAAUGGAGCUGAGGUUAGCGGAAUGAGUCAUGUAGCGGUGAAAUGCAUAGAUAUGACUUAGAACACCAAUUGCGAAGGCAGCUAACUAGACUUCUAUUGACGCUGAGGCACGAAAGCGUGGGGAGCGAACAGG
RNAcentral lists this ribosomal RNA (252 nucleotides) under uncultured bacterium. RNAcentral's name for it is "partial 16S ribosomal RNA". It matches the Rfam family "Bacterial small subunit ribosomal RNA", at positions 525 to 776 of the family's 1533-position model. The record is from RNAcentral.